GUCCACGCCGUAAACGAUGGGUACUAGGUGUUCGGGGUAUUGACCCCCUGAGUGCCGCAGCUAACGCAUUAAGUACCCCGCCUGGGGACUACGGCCGCAAGGCUAAAACUCAAAGGAAUUGACGGGGGCCCGCACAAGCGGUGGAGCAUGUGGUUUAAUUCGACGCAACGCGAAGAACCUUACCUGGGCUAGACAACAUCGGACAGCCCCAGAAAUGGGGUCUCCCCGCAAGGGGCCGGUGGUUCAGGUGCUGCAUGGCUGUCGU
This 265-nucleotide ribosomal RNA is filed under the name uncultured bacterium. Its description in RNAcentral is "partial 16S ribosomal RNA". It matches the Rfam family "Bacterial small subunit ribosomal RNA", at positions 793 to 1055 of the family's 1533-position model. The record is from RNAcentral.